GCUGAAACUCGCCUACAUGAAGCUGGAGUUACUAGUAAUCGCAGAUCAGAAUGCUGCGGUGAAUGCGUUCCCGGGUCUUGUACACACCGCCCGUCACACCACGGGAGUUGGAGACGCCCGAAGCCGAUUAUCUAACCUGUUGGAAGAAGUCGUCGAAGGGGGAAUCAAUAACUGGGGUGAAGUCGUAACAAGGUAGCCGUAUCGGAAGGUGCGGCUGGAUCACCUCCUUUCUAAGGAGA
Molecule: ribosomal RNA, 239 nt
Filed under: Clostridioides difficile
Lineage: Bacteria; Bacillati; Bacillota; Clostridia; Peptostreptococcales; Peptostreptococcaceae
Description: partial 16S ribosomal RNA
Rfam family: Bacterial small subunit ribosomal RNA
Source: RNAcentral